This 421-nucleotide ribosomal RNA is filed under the name uncultured bacterium. RNAcentral describes it as "bacterial SSU rRNA". It matches the Rfam family "Bacterial small subunit ribosomal RNA", at positions 28 to 444 of the family's 1533-position model. The record is from RNAcentral.
GACGAACGCUGGCGGCGUGCUUAACACAUGCAAGUCGAGCGAUGAAAUUCUCUUCGGAGAAUGGAUUAGCGGCGGACGGGUGAGUAACACGUGGGUAACCUGCCUUAUAGUGGGGGAUAGCCUUUCGAAAGGAAGAUUAAUACCGCAUAAUAUUGUGGUUUCGCAUGAAACAACAAUUAAAGGAUUUAUUCGCUAUGAGAUGGACCCGCGGCGCAUUAGCUAGUUGGUGAGGUAACGGCUNACCAAGGCGACGAUGCGUAGCCGACCUGAGAGGUGAUCGGCCACAUUGGAACUGAGGACACGGUCCAAACUCCUACGGGAGGCAGCAGUGAGGAAUAUUGGUCAAUGGGCUAAGCCUGAACCAGCCAAGUAGCGUGAGGGAAGACGUGCCCUACGGGUUGUAAACCGUCUUUUGUUUGGG